Non-coding RNA from Acanthosepion pharaonis, 108 nucleotides. The record is from the annotation of a GenBank genome assembly. NCBI's taxonomy places the organism in Eukaryota, Metazoa, Mollusca, Cephalopoda, Sepiida, Sepiidae.
UACGAUCACAUCACGCUGAAGCACCAGUCCCUGUACGAUCACCGAAGUUAAGCAACUUAUAGCCUGGUCAGUUCCUAAAUGGGUGACCGUUUGGGAAUACCAGGUACU